UGUCAACACUGCCUGGCUUUAUUCCACUUGGAAAUUACCAGCAGGGAAAUCUGCUGUCCGUUAGAGAGCCACUGUCAAGAUCAAGAUUCAUGGUUCCCCCCAUGGCUGCACAGGAAAACAUUGUAUUUUUCAUCACCUGAUAAAGCUCAUUAAAAUGUUGUCUACA
Harpia harpyja (harpy eagle) is the source of this 166-nucleotide long non-coding RNA. RefSeq lists it as uncharacterized. The transcript has 2 exons. The record is from RefSeq and is a predicted model, not a curated record. Lineage: Eukaryota; Metazoa; Chordata; Aves; Accipitriformes; Accipitridae.